GAUCAUGGCUCAGGACGAACGCUGGCGGCGUGCUUAACACAUGCAAGUCGAACGAGAAUCUACUGAAAGAGUUUUCGGACAAUGGAAGUAGAGGAAAGUGGCGGACGGGUGAGUAACGCGUGAGGAACCUGCCUUGAAGAGGGGGACAACAGUUGGAAACGACUGCUAAUACCGCAUAACGCAUAGAGGUCGCAUGAUCUUUAUGCCAAAGAUUUAUCGCUUCAAGAUGGCCUCGCGU
Molecule: ribosomal RNA, 238 nt
Filed under: uncultured bacterium
Lineage: Bacteria
Description: partial 16S ribosomal RNA
Rfam family: Bacterial small subunit ribosomal RNA
Source: RNAcentral